UUUCAGAAUUGAAGUCAAGCUUUGAGCUCUCAAUUUUUUAAGACAAAGUUUAUCUCCCCUGCGGCAUGAAAUAUUUUCAUGAAACUAAGGCAAUAGAUGCCAUCAAACAGGGCAUCUGACGAGUGGAAUAUGUUUUCGAAGCGUACUUUGUUGGAAAGGUUUACGCACCCAAAACACCCAAAAAAAUCACUACCAAAUCUGUAGAGUUCUCUUCCUUCUUUUUUUUUGUUUUUGGUCCUCAUAAAAACCCAAUUUCUUCCCCAAAAAAAUUUAACGACACAAUUGGAGAGCUUUUCUCUUCUCGUUUUCGGCACAUCAAAUGACCAGUAAGUUAUUUUAUUCAUCAGCCCACUUUGUCGUAAGAAUGUCGUUACACAAAAAAUUUAUAAAGAAAAUCUAUAGAAAAGAAACAAGAUGUGGAGUUUAACUACAAUUUCUUGAAAAAUUCUAAUUGCAUAUUGGAAAAGGAAUAUUUUUUUAUGUUAAUUCAGUGAAAAAAGGAAAGGGGCAAGAAGCUUUCCUUCCUUUUAUUCACUCUUCUGUUUUACUUUUGUUUUCUUACAAAUGUCCGAUCCUUAUCUCUUUAGUGACAGGUGGAAACUGAAUUACUUGAGGGACAAGUUGUUGGUGAUUUUUGAGUCGCUUGAUGACAAACAAUAGCAUCCAAUCAAUCACUUCAAGGUUGCAGUUCAGCCCUUUCGCUACAGGUAUAGUUUUUCCGAUCUAUUUCAGCUGUUGGUUACUGUGUUACGAUCAGAAAAACAAAUUAGCGACAUUCGGUGCCUCAAACAAGGCAGGAAAAGCGAAGCGAAAUGAAGAAUUUAAUCAUCAAUUAUCUGAUAACCUGAUCACAGACACUUAAUUAUUACUUAUGUUACAGGCCUUUUAUUGUUAGAAAUGUUUUGGUCUACUUGUAUGAGACUCCCUUAUCUCGGUGUCACCUCAUUCUGGUUAUAGAUUGUCAGGUCAUGUAUACAAUAGACUCAUUUAAGCAAGACAUUCUUGAUUCUGUAACUGAAAUUCAUUGACAUA
Nymphaea colorata (pocket water lily) is the source of this 1032-nucleotide long non-coding RNA. RefSeq lists it as uncharacterized. The record is from RefSeq and is a predicted model, not a curated record. NCBI's taxonomy places the organism in Eukaryota, Viridiplantae, Streptophyta, Magnoliopsida, Nymphaeales, Nymphaeaceae. The transcript is spliced from 2 exons.